GAAAUGCGAUAAGUAGUGUGAAUUGCAGAUUUCAGUGAAUCAUCGAAUCUUUGAACGCACAUUGCGCCCCUUGGUAUUCCAUGGGGCAUGCCUGUUCGAGCGUCAUUUGUACCCUCAAGCUCUGCUUGGUGUUGGGUGUUUGUCCCCGUCUCCGCGCGUGGACUCGCCCCAAAGUGAUUGGCAGCCGGCGUACUGGUCCCGGAGCGCAGCACAUGUCGCGCAAACGAGUGCCUUGGUACGGCGGCGUCCAUAAGCCCCUCUCUCACGCUCUUGACCUCGGAUCAGGUAGGGAUACCCGCUGAACUUAAGC
Molecule: unclassified non-coding RNA, 310 nt
Filed under: plant metagenome
Description: partial contains 5.8S ribosomal RNA, internal transcribed spacer 2, and large subunit ribosomal RNA
Rfam family: 5.8S ribosomal RNA (bases 1-105)
Source: RNAcentral